RNAcentral lists this ribosomal RNA (253 nucleotides) under uncultured bacterium. RNAcentral's name for it is "partial 16S ribosomal RNA". It matches the Rfam family "Bacterial small subunit ribosomal RNA", at positions 524 to 776 of the family's 1533-position model. The record is from RNAcentral.
UCCGGGGGGGGCAAGCGUUGUUCGGAAUUACUUGGCGUAAAGGGCGCGUAGGCGGUUUGUUAAGUUGGAUGUGAAAACUGUGGGCUCAACCCAUAGCCUGCGUCCAAUACUGACAGGCUAGAGUUCUGGAGGGGAUAGCGGAAUUCCUGGUGUAGCGGUGAAAUGCGUAGAUAUCAGGAGGAACACCGGUGGCGAAGGCGGCUAUCUGGACAGAGUCUGACGCUGAGGCGCGAAAGCUAGGGGAGCAAACAGG